This 446-nucleotide long non-coding RNA is filed under the name Olea europaea (common olive). Its description in RNAcentral is "long non-coding RNA (OEUR_LNC012868)". The record is from RNAcentral. Lineage: Eukaryota; Viridiplantae; Streptophyta; Magnoliopsida; Lamiales; Oleaceae.
CAAAGUAUCAAUUAAGCAAGCAAAAGAAGAGGUGUUCUUCCAUAUAAAUCAAGCUAAAUGGAACAAAUAAGCAAACACUGAAAUAUAAAAUGUACAAACAGUACAAUGUGCAAUUGUAGCGGAUCUUCGGAGCAAUUUAAACCAUCACUGGAAGACUUUUCCAUCAUACAUUCUCUUUCGGUAGCUGGAGUUGAUCUCGGGACCAGAUCCUGUACAUCUGCUAGGACAGGAGGUGGUUCAGGUUGUCUAAUAAUUUCUUCAAGAGGAAGGCAAUCAAUAGUUUCAAAAGAAACCAGAUCUGGAGUUGAUCUCGGGAUCAGAUCCUGUACAUCUGCUAGGACAGGAGGUGGUUCAGGUUGUUUAAUAAUUUCUUCUUGAGGAAGGCUGUCAACAGUUUCAAAAGAAAUCAGAGAAUCAAUUUCUUGAGUCUGAAACGUUUGAUUUUC